CCUACGGGAGGCAGCAGUGGGGAAUAUUGGGCAAUGGGCGCAAGCCUGACCCAGCAAAGCCGCGUGAAGGAAGCAGGCUUUCGGGUUGUAAACUUCUUUUAAGGGGGAAGAGCAGAAGACGGUACCCCUUGAAUAAGCCACGGCUAACUACGUGCCAGCAGCCGCGGUAAUACGUAGGUGGCAAGCGUUGUCCGGAUUUACUGGGUGUAAAGGGCGUGCAGCCGGAGAGACAAGUCAGAUGUGAAAUCCACGGGCUCAACCCGUGAACUGCAUUUGAAACUGUUUCCCUUGAGUGUCGGAGAGGUAAUCGGAAUUCCUUGUGUAGCGGUGAAAUGCGUAGAUAUAAGGAAGAACACCAGUGGCGAAGGCGGAUUACUGGACGAUAACUGACGGUGAGGCGCGAAAGCGUGGGGAGCAAACAGGAUUAGAUACCCCGGUAGUC
RNAcentral lists this ribosomal RNA (442 nucleotides) under uncultured bacterium. RNAcentral's name for it is "partial 16S ribosomal RNA". It matches the Rfam family "Bacterial small subunit ribosomal RNA", at positions 338 to 795 of the family's 1533-position model. The record is from RNAcentral.